This 74-nucleotide transfer RNA is filed under the name Cordylochernes scorpioides. RNAcentral describes it as "tRNA-Thr". The record is from RNAcentral. Lineage: Eukaryota; Metazoa; Arthropoda; Arachnida; Pseudoscorpiones; Chernetidae.
GUCCAGGGAUGGGAAUCAAACCCACAGUGUUCGGUUUACCGGGCAGAUGCCAUGUCCACUAAGCUUACCCUGGA